UGCUGAGUUUGCUGCAGCUACUU
RNAcentral lists this small nuclear RNA (23 nucleotides) under Arabidopsis thaliana (thale cress). RNAcentral's name for it is "snRNA_02855". The record is from RNAcentral. Lineage: Eukaryota; Viridiplantae; Streptophyta; Magnoliopsida; Brassicales; Brassicaceae.